This 2422-nucleotide long non-coding RNA is filed under the name Solanum tuberosum (potato). RNAcentral describes it as "long non-coding RNA (STUB_LNC007861)". Lineage: Eukaryota; Viridiplantae; Streptophyta; Magnoliopsida; Solanales; Solanaceae. The record is from RNAcentral.
UGAGAUUUAUUAUUGCCUCAGUUUUUUAUAAGCUAAAUAAUUUUAUUAAUGGAAGGGAAAUCCCCGUAUACAAAUAGUAUACCAAAAUUUGUAUCUCUCUGGCUACCAAUCAUCUAUACAAACAAGUGCCUCAUGGGUACAUCCCCCAAAAACUAGAGAUUGGAGGCUACUGCUAACAUGUACGAAAUCGUUCUCGAUCUCCUCAGACGCUCUCCUAUUCCUCUCCCUCCAAACAACCUACAUAAUUGAUAGUGGAACUAUAUCCCAUGCCUUGUGACAAACAAAAUCAUUCUUGAUCCUCAUUAUUCUGAAAGGUCAGCUAUAUAUUGCCUCCUUAACUGUUCUUGGCAUGACCCAAUGUACUUCAACCAGUUCCGGGCCCUUCCCUCCACAGGGGUGUAGUUACUUGACAAUGUAAUAGUAAGUGGUGCACAUCUUCUUCUUAACAUCUUCACUAUAGCCAAACUCUCUAUGUGAAUGUUACUUCUUUAAAUGAUCACAAAUAUUAAAAAGAAUGUUGUCAAAUAUUUGAUAUUAACAACAUUAGACAAUCAGCAAUAAAAUAGAUUUAACAAAUUAACGUUGAUGAGUCUGUACAUUUUAUGAGGUAUAGUUAUAUUUUGGAACUGUUAAUGAGGUACAAUGAUUGUAAUAGCCAUUUAUUAAAUUGAUGUGGUGUUAUGACUUAUGCUAUAAAUCAUGUGAAUUAUUGCGUUACUGUAAGCGAAUUACUCUCUAACUCUUGCACAAUAUUUCCAUUUUAACAGCGAGUAUAUUUAUUUAAUUUUAUGAGGUAUAAUUGUUAUACAUUGAUUCAAGAAAGGGGUGUGAUUUUAUGCUAUAGUAAGAUGUGAAAUACUACUAGUCCGGCCGGGGGGUGGGGUGGGGGGGGGAGGAGUGAUGUUUAAGUGUCCCAUAUUGGUUGGGGGAAAUGGAAUGCUUUCUCCUUAUUUGUCUUGGACAAUCUUCACCUGAUGAGCUAGCUCUUGUGGGUUAAGUUUUGAUUUAUUUCUAUUUUCUUUACCUGCCCAAUCCUUUAUCUAAAUCUAUGCAACUCUUAGUGGUGCUCCGUAACAUUUUUCUCUCUUCCAGUUUUUUUGGGAAGUGGCAAGCACUUCUGAUGUUAGUAGUACUAAGAGAGUUCUGUAUGGCAAAAAAGGGAGAAGAAAAAUACUAUCGAAAAAGAGCUAGUAUCAUAAAGGGAUGAGCACCCAUAUUAGUUGGGGGAAUGGAAUGCUUUCUCCUUAUUUGUCUUGGACAAUCUUCACCUGAUGAGCUAGCUCUUGUGGGUUGAGUUUUGAUUUAUUUCCAUUUUCUUUACCUGCCCAAUCCUUUAUCUAAAUCUAUGCAACUCUUAGUGGUGCUCCGUAACAUUUUUCUCUCUUCCAGUUUUUUUGGGAAGUGGCAAGCACUUCUGAUGUUAGUAGUACUAAGAGAGUUCUGUAUGGCAAAAAAGGGAGAAGAAAAAUACUAUCGAAAAAGAGCUAGUAUCAUAAAGGGAUGAGCACCCAUAUUAGUUGGGGGAAUGGAAUGCUUUCUCCUUAUUUGUCUUGGACAAUCUUCACCUGAUGAGCUAGCUCUUGUGGGUUGAGUUUUGAUUUAUUUCCAUUUUCUUUACCUGCCCAAUCCUUUAUCUAAAUCUAUGCAACUCUUAGUGGUGCUCCGUAACAUUUUUCUCUCUUCCAGUUUUUUUGGGAAGUGGCAAGCAUUUCUGAUGUUAGAAGUACUAAGAGAGUGCUGUAUGACAAAAAAGGGAGAAGAAAAGUACUAUCGAAAAAGAGCUAGUAGCAUAAAGGGAUGAGCACCCUCUCUAUGCUGUAUGAAAGAUUCUAUGAACUGUAGCAAGGGCUCAACACUUGUUUGCCCAUUCCAAUUUCCACUAAAAGGACAUCAGAAGUAUACAGUAAUAUAAUUUUCAGUAUGGAGGACCACAACUCCUUCAAAAAACAUUGCUUUUGUUAGAUUUUAGAAUCCCCACCUGCUUUCUAGUAAAAACAACGUUCUUCUGCCCCUUCCAUACAGACUCGUUUACCCCUACUGUACCAACUUAUCCUCGGUUAUUUGGCUCUUCGAAAGAUGAUAGGAUACUGAGACAUUUCUGCCACUCUAAGCACUCACAAUCAUUGAAGUACCUUCAAAAUUUUAAAUUCCAACCAUUGCCUUCCCUGCCCUGUGUGCUAGACUGUUAAUAUCCUGCACUAUGCUUGAACAAGAGGGGAAUUGGUUUUUUAAUGGAGCGUGUGCCAAAAUUGAACUCUUCUUCUAUUGACAAUUUUGAUGUUAAUGCUCUGUGAAAACCAAGGCCAGGAUGCCCUAUUAUUUCUCCAUAUACCAUGCCCAUGUGGAGUUCCAUUUUGGUGUGCCUUUCAUUAUAGGCCACCCCUAUUGGCCUAUUCAUUAUAACAUUUCUCCAUAUCGUUGC